Molecule: ribosomal RNA, 468 nt
Filed under: uncultured bacterium
Lineage: Bacteria
Description: partial 16S ribosomal RNA
Rfam family: Bacterial small subunit ribosomal RNA
Source: RNAcentral
GACGAACGCUGGCGGCGUGCUUAACACAUGCAAGUCGAACGGAAAGGCCCUGCUUUUGUGGGGUGCUCGAGUGGCGAACGGGUGAGUAACACGUGAGUAACCUGCCCUUGACUUUGGGAUAACUUCAGGAAACUGGGGCUAAUACCGGAUAGGAGCUCCUGCUGCAUGGUGGGGGUUGGAAAGUUUCGGCGGUUGGGGAUGGACUCGCGGCUUAUCAGCUUGUUGGUGGGGUAGUGGCUUACCAAGGCUUUGACGGGUAGCCGGCCUGAGAGGGUGACCGGCCAGAUUGGGACUGAGAUACGGCCCAGACGGCUGCGGGAGGCAGCAGUGGGGAAUAUGGCGCAGUGGGCGGAAGCGUGAUGCAGCAGCGCCGCGGGCGGGAUGACGGCCUUCGGGUUGUAAGCCGCUUUCGCCUGGGACGAAGCGUGAGUGACGGUAAUGGGUAAAGAAGCACCGGCUAACUACGUG